AUGAUGGGAGGUGGGCUGCUGAUGGAUCAGGGCAUGGCGUUCUCCGGCGUGCACAACUUCGUGGAUCUGCUCCAGCAGAACGGCGCCGACAAGAACCUCGGCUUCGGCUCCCUUAUGCCGCAGACAUCCUCCGGCGACCAGUGCGUCAUGGGCGAGGGCGACCUCGUGGACCCCCCCACGAACAACUUCCCGGACGCCGGUGAGGACGACAGCGACGACGAUGUGGAUGACAUCGAGGAGCUGGAGCGCCGCAUGUGGCGCGACCGCAUGAAGCUCAAGCGCCUCAAGGAGCUGCAGCAGAGCCGCGGCAAGGAGCAGGCCGCCGGCGGCGGCGGGGCUGGCGACGGACUGAAGCCGCGGCAGUCGCAGGAGCAGGCGCGCCGCAAGAAGAUGUCGCGCGCGCAGGACGGCAUCCUCAAGUACAUGCUCAAGAUGAUGGAGGUGUGCCGCGCCCAGGGGUUCGUCUACGGCAUCAUUCCGGAGAAGGGCAAGCCCGUGAGCGGCGCCUCUGACAACCUCCGUGCCUGGUGGAAGGAGAAGGUCCGCUUCGACCGGAACGGCCCGGCCGCCAUCGCCAAGUACCAGGCCGACAACGCCGUGCCGGGCUCCGAGAGCGAGCUGGCUUCCGGCACCGCCAGCCCGCACUCGCUGCAGGAGCUGCAGGACACCACGCUGGGCUCGCUGCUCUCGGCGCUCAUGCAGCACUGCGAUCCACCGCAGCGAAGGUUCCCGCUCGAGAAGGGCAUCUCUCCUCCAUGGUGGCCGUCCGGCGACGAGGAGUGGUGGCCGGAGCUUGGCAUCCCCAAGGACCAGGGCCCGCCCCCGUACAAGAAGCCCCAUGACCUGAAGAAGGCCUGGAAGGUCAGCGUGCUCACCGCUGUCAUCAAGCACAUGUCGCCGGACAUCGAGAAGAUCCGGCGCCUCGUUCGCCAGUCCAAAUGCCUCCAGGACAAGAUGACCGCCAAGGAGAUCUCCACCUGGCUGGCCGUGGUGAAGCAGGAAGAGGAGCUGUUCAUGAGGCUGCACCCGGGCGUUCGCCCUCCAGCGUCUGCCGGCGGCAUCGCCAGUGCCAUAUCAUUCAACGCCAGCUCGAGUGAGUACGACGUUGACCUCGCCGACGACUGCAAGGGCGAUGAGGCCGGCACCCACAAGAUGGCCAUGGACGAUCCAACCGCCUUCAACCUCGGCGCGGCCAUCCUGAAUGACAAGUUCCUCAUGCAAGCGCCCAUGAAAGAGGAGACCGGCGAUAUGGAGUAUGUCCAGAAGAGGAGCGCGGUGGCCGCCGAGCCGGAGCUGAUGCUGAACAACCGCGUCUACACCUGCAACAACGUCCAGUGCCCACACAGCGACUACGGGUACGGCUUCCUUGACCGGAAUGCGCGCAACAGCCACCGGUACACCUGCAAGUACAAUGAUCCCCUCCCGCCAAGCGCGGAGAACAAGGCAACGCCACCUGCGCCGCCGCAAGUCUUCCCGGCAGCCUACAACCAGCAGUUCUUCAUCGGUGACGACGCGCAGGCGCAGUUCGGCAACCAGAUGGGCAGCAUCUCCGGCGCAUCGGAUUUCAGGUUCGGCUCUGGCUUCAACAUGUCUGGCACCGUCGACUACCCGCAGAAGAACGACGGCCCCAACUGGUACUACUGA
This 1644-nucleotide ribosomal RNA is filed under the name Triticum aestivum (bread wheat). Its description in RNAcentral is "partial small subunit ribosomal RNA". Lineage: Eukaryota; Viridiplantae; Streptophyta; Magnoliopsida; Poales; Poaceae. The record is from RNAcentral.